AUUGAACGCUGGCGGCAGGCCUAACACAUGCAAGUCGAGCGGAUUCAGCGAGCUUGCUCCUGGAUUCAGCGGCGGCCGGGUGAGUCAUGCCUAGGAAUCUGCCUGGUCGUGGGGGAUAACGUCCGGAAACGGGCGCUAAUACCGCAUACGUCCUGUGGUAGCAAGUGGGGGAUCUUCGGACUUCACGCUAUCAGAUGAGCCUAGGUCGGAUUAGCUAGUUGGUGGGGUAACGGCUUACCAAGGCGACGAUCCGUAACUGGUCUGAGAGGAUGAUCAGGCACACUGGAACUGAGACACAGUCCAGACACCUACGGGAGGCAGCAGUGGGGAAUAUUGGACAAUGGACGAAAGCCUGAUCCAGCCAUGCCGCGUGAAGGAAGAAGGUCUUCUGAUUGUAAAGCACUUUAAGUUGGAAGGAAGGGCAGUAAGUUAAUACCUUGCUGUAUUGACGUUACCAACAGAAUAAGCACCGGCUAACUUCGUG
This 484-nucleotide ribosomal RNA is filed under the name uncultured bacterium. RNAcentral's name for it is "partial 16S ribosomal RNA". It matches the Rfam family "Bacterial small subunit ribosomal RNA", at positions 30 to 507 of the family's 1533-position model. The record is from RNAcentral.